UAGUAUUUGCUCAGCUCUUGGAAAAUGAUAGAUAUUUUUUCUGAGCAUAUCUGAUGUUGCUGCUGACAGCUGCAGAAGUGGGGAACAACUGAGAUUCUAUCAGAUAAUUACAUUUGGAAAGUGCACUUAUUCCUCCUUUGCAGUUUUGAAUUCAUUACAUUUCAACUUCAUUUAACAUGCCCAUAUUCAUUUGCUUUGAAGCAGUGGGAGUAGCAUUUCUUCUCUGACCUUUUCUAGAUUAUUCAGUAUCAAUAUAUUUUUCUUAUUACUUAAUUUAGUCAUUUCUUUUCAAUACUAAACAAUUCUCAAUAUAUUUUUCUUAUUACUUAAUUUAGUCAUUUCUUUUCAAUACUAAACAAUUCUGUUGUUUUCCAGGGUUGGUUUUUUUUUUUUUUUUUUUUUGAUACUUAUUCCAGGUUUUUGGACCAUCGACCACACUUCUCGGGUCCUCUAGCUGCUCUACAGCACCCUGCCUAAGACAAGAUGAGGAACGAUGCAUUCCAUUCAAGACAAGGUCUCUCAUUAGACAUGCUGCUUUCACCAUGGCCAAGAGCACUGGGACAAUGCAGGAUCUGCCUCUGCUGAAAAUCAUCUUCAAAUAUGGCUGCCACUUCUGGGACUUUUCUGCUUCUCAGGUAGGGCAAAAACCCCAAAGACAAAGAACGUGACCUUUUCUAGCAGGUGGCAAUCAAAGUCCCUUCUCACAGUCAAGGUUACAGGAUUUAUUUCAUGACGACAUACCGCUGGGGACCUGGUAUGGACUGCCAUACUGCCACAAUAUGUUCCUUUAUAACUUGGUAAGUAGAAGAGAGCAGAUAAUGAAAUUUUCUGAAGAGGUGAAGCUGCGAGACAUUGUCAACACACCAAAGGUGAGAAUUUCAUAAAAUAAGAGUAAGAUGAUCUAGAGGAACAGAAGAGUAGAAACUAGAUCAAGUUCAAUAGUUGGAGAUGCAAGAUCUUGAGAACUGUUAAAUCACCAGCUCUGAGCUAAAGAAAGUUAGCUGAAAAUUACCAAGGAGAAAAAAAUAUUCAGGUGUAUUUGGCAGUGAGGGAUUGAACACGACAAUGUAUGACAUUUUCCCUAGUAUGUAGGUCUCCAAUGAUUAUGUCUCAUUACAUGUCAUGAAUUUUAGACCAGAGAAUACUGUGAAAACAGGAAAGCCUUCAAGUCUUUUUCUUAGACAGUGCUAGGAAAGUAGGCC
This 1202-nucleotide long non-coding RNA is filed under the name Dromaius novaehollandiae (emu). Its description in RNAcentral is "lncRNA (ENSDNVG00000018840.1)". Lineage: Eukaryota; Metazoa; Chordata; Aves; Casuariiformes; Dromaiidae. The record is from RNAcentral.